Molecule: ribosomal RNA, 301 nt
Filed under: uncultured bacterium
Lineage: Bacteria
Description: partial 16S ribosomal RNA
Rfam family: Bacterial small subunit ribosomal RNA
Source: RNAcentral
CAGUCGCCGCGGUAAUACAGAGGGUGCGAGCGUUAAUCGGAUUUACUGGGCGUAAAGCGUGCGUAGGCGGCUUCUUAAGUCGGAUGUGAAAUCCCUGAGUUUAACUUAGGAAUUGCAUUCGAUACUGGGAAGCUAAAGUAUGGGAGAGGAUGGUAGAAUUCCAGGUGUAGCGGUGAAAUGCGUAGAGAUCUGGAGGAAUACCGAUGGCGAAGGCAGCCAUCUGGCCUAAUACUGACGCUGAGGUACGAAAGCAUGGGGAGCAAACAGGAUUAGAUACCCCUGUAGUCCCUGUCUCUUAUAC